Molecule: ribosomal RNA, 244 nt
Filed under: Leptographium lundbergii
Lineage: Eukaryota; Fungi; Ascomycota; Sordariomycetes; Ophiostomatales; Ophiostomataceae
Description: partial large subunit ribosomal RNA
Rfam family: Eukaryotic large subunit ribosomal RNA
Source: RNAcentral
GCAACAGCUCAGAUUUGGAAUCUGGUCCCCAGGGCCCGAGUUGUAAUCUGGAGAGGAUGCUUCUGGCGCGGCGCCUUCCGAGUUCCCUGGAACGGGACGCCGGAGAGGGUGAGAGCCCCGUACGGUUGGACGCCUAGCCUUUGUGAAGCUCCUUCGACGAGUCGAGUACUUUGGGAAUGCUGCUCAAAAUGGGAGGUAAAUUUCUUCUAAAGCUAAAUACCGGCCAGAGACCGAUAGCGCACAA